CUCCUCCAUCUUCGAUUCAAUAAUGGUUACUUUGCUAUGUUGCAAAUCACCUCUCUAGAUUUUGGGGAGUUGAGGGAGCAACGAAGCAGAAGGUCAUGGUGACUAUUUGUUGAUCUGUGUUUAGAUCUACCCUCCCUUUGCUCCUUGAGCAUGAAUCUUGUAUUAUAUGUUUGAAAUUUUGGAAAAAAAAAAUGUCAAAUACACAAUGACGAGGAAAUCUCAGCUGGAAAGAUAUGGUAGAAGAAGAUGAAGAAUUUUCUUCAAGUAAACAAUAGAAAUAUAUAGGGUUAUUUAAAGGGGCAAAGAAUUUAUGCUUUGAAUUUUGUAUUAAAAGCGAGAGCUUUUCUAAAUCAAAGAUUUGGCUUAGAAGGGACAAGGAGAAGCAUAAAUAAAAAUCAACUGGGGAUUCUUCAAGGAGGCCAUAUUUCUUUCCAUUUUCAAUGAGCAAAAAUGUUGUCGCAGAUGGUGAUUUGAAAAUGAAGAAUAGGAAUGGUGGUGUAAGGAGAUACUAAUUCUAAGAUUGGCAUUGGAAGAUGGAAAAGUAGAUAUAGAUUCAGGUUUUAAUGAGCAGAAUGUAAUGCAAAAAACUGUUUCAUUUGAAAGGAAUACCCUGCUUUGGCUUCUUGGAAAAGAAAAUAAGGUUAUUCGCUCA
Molecule: long non-coding RNA, 652 nt
Organism: Hevea brasiliensis (rubber tree)
Lineage: Eukaryota; Viridiplantae; Streptophyta; Magnoliopsida; Malpighiales; Euphorbiaceae
Exons: 2
Source: RefSeq, a predicted model, not a curated record